AACGUAGGUACCGAGCGUUAUCCGGAUUUACUGGGCGUAAAGCGCGUUCAGGCGGUUUGGCAAGUCGGGCAUGAAAUCUCUCGGCUCAACCGGGAGAGGUUGUCCGAUACUGCUGGACUUGAGGGCAGUAGAGGGUGGUGGAAUUUCUGGUGUAGCGGUGAAAUGCGUAGAUAUCAGAAGGAACAUCAGUGGCGAAAGCGACUUCCUGGACCAGAACUGACGAUCAGGCACGAAAGCGUGGGGAGCAAACAGG
RNAcentral lists this ribosomal RNA (253 nucleotides) under uncultured bacterium. Its description in RNAcentral is "partial 16S ribosomal RNA". It matches the Rfam family "Bacterial small subunit ribosomal RNA", at positions 524 to 776 of the family's 1533-position model. The record is from RNAcentral.